UGUGUAGGCGGUUCUUUAAGUUUGGUGUGAAAUCUCCCGGCUUAACCGGGAGGGUGCGCCGAAUACUGAGGGACUAGAGUGCGGGAGAGGAAAGUGGAAUUCCUGGUGUAGCGGUGAAAUGCGUAGAUAUCAGGAGGAACACCGGUGGUGUAGACGGCUUUCUGGACCGUAACUGACGCUGAGACACGAAAGCGUGGGUAGCAAACAGGAUUAGAUACCCUGGUAGUCCACGCCCUAAACGAUGCAUAUUUGGUCGUGGGUCAUUCAGUUGAUCCGUGCCGGAGCUAACGCGUUAAAUAUGCCGCCUGGGGAGUACAGUCGCAAGGCUGAA
RNAcentral lists this ribosomal RNA (331 nucleotides) under uncultured bacterium. RNAcentral's name for it is "bacterial SSU rRNA". It matches the Rfam family "Bacterial small subunit ribosomal RNA", at positions 568 to 898 of the family's 1533-position model. The record is from RNAcentral.